This 504-nucleotide ribosomal RNA is filed under the name uncultured bacterium. RNAcentral's name for it is "bacterial SSU rRNA". It matches the Rfam family "Bacterial small subunit ribosomal RNA", at positions 28 to 524 of the family's 1533-position model. The record is from RNAcentral.
GAUGAACGCUAGCGACAGGCUUAACACAUGCAAGUCGAGGGGCAGCAUAGAAGUAGCAAUACUUUGGUGGCGACCGGCGCACGGGUGAGUAACGCGUAUGCAACCUACCUAUCAGAGGGGAAUAACCCGGCGAAAGUCGGACUAAUACCGCAUAAAACAGGGGCACCGCAUGGUGAUAUUUGUUAAAGAAAUUCGCUGAUAGAUGGGCAUGCGUUCCAUUAGGUAGUUGGUGAGGUAACGGCUCACCAAGCCGACGAUGGAUAGGGGAACUGAGAGGUUGGUCCCCCACACUGGUACUGAGACACGGACCAGACUCCUACGGGAGGCAGCAGUGAGGAAUAUUGGUCAAUGGGCGAGAGCCUGAACCAGCCAAGUCGCGUGAAGGAAGAAGGAUCUAUGGUUCGUAAACUUCUUUUGCAGGGGAAUAAAGUGCGGGACGUGUCCUGUUUUGUAUGUACCCUGAGAAUAAGGAUCGGCUAACUCCGUGCCAGCAGCCGCGGUAAA